Molecule: ribosomal RNA, 460 nt
Filed under: uncultured bacterium
Lineage: Bacteria
Description: partial 16S ribosomal RNA
Rfam family: Bacterial small subunit ribosomal RNA
Source: RNAcentral
CCUACGGGUGGCAGCAGUGAGGAAUCUUGGUCAAUGGACGAGAGUCUGAACCAGCCAAGUAGCGUGAAGGAUGACUGCCCUAUGGGUUGUAAACUUCUUUUAUAUGGGAAUAAAAUGUUACACGUGUGGGAUUUUGUAUGUACCAUAUGAAUAAGGAUCGGCUCACUCCGUGCCAGCAGCCGCGGUAAUACGGAGGAUCCGAGCGUGAUCCGGAUUUCUUUGGUUUAAAGGGAGCGUAGGUGGAUUGUUAAGUCAGUUGUGAAAGUUUGCGGCUCAACCGUAAAAUUGCAGUUGAAACUGGCAGUCUGGAGUACAGUAGAGGUGGGCGGAAUUCGUGGUGUAGCGGUGAAAUGCGUAGAUAUCACGAAGAACUCCGAUUGCGAAGGCAGUUCACUGGACUGAAACUGACACUGAGGCUCGAAAGUGUGGGUAUCAAACAGGAUUAGAUACCCCUGUAGUC